CUGAGUACGGCGGAACACGUGAAAUUCCGUCGGAAUCCGGGAGGACCAUCUCCCAAGGCUAAAUACUCCCUAGUGACCGAUAGUGAACCAGUACCGUGAGGGAAAGGUGAAAAGCACCCCGGAAGGGGAGUGAAACAGUUCCUGAAACCGUGUGCCUACAAGUAGUUAGAGCCCGUUAAUGGGUGAUAGCGUGCCUUUUGUAGAAUGAACCGGCGAGUUACGAUUUGUUGCAAGGUUAAGCGGAAAAAGCGGAGCCGUAGCGAAAGCGAGUCUGAAUAGGGCGCAUAAGUAACAGGUCGUAGACCCGAAACCAGGUGAUCUACCCAUGUCCAGGAUGAAGGUAAGGUAAUACUUACUGGAGGUCCGAACCCACGCACGUUGAAAAGUGCGGGGAUGAGGUGUGGGUAGCGGAGAAAUUCCAAUCGAACUUGGAGAUAGCUGGUUCUCUCCGAAAUAGCUUUAGGGCUAGCCUCGAGGUAAAGAGUCAUGGAGGUAGAGCACUGUUUGGACUAGGGGCCCUUCUCGGGUUACCGAAUUCAGAUAAACUCCGAAUGCCAUGUACUUAUACUCGGGAGUCAGACUGCGAGUGAUAAGAUCCGUAGUCGAAAGGGAAACAGCCCAGACCACCAGUUAAGGUCCCCAAAUAUAUGUUAAGUGGAAAAGGAUGUGGGGUUGCUUAGACAACCAGGAUGUUGGCUUAGAAGCAGCCACCAUUGAAAGAGUGCGUAAUAGCUCACUGGUCGAGUGACCCCGCGCCGAAAAUGUACCGGGGCUAAACAUAUUACCGAAACUGUGGAUGAACCUCUUUAGAGGUUCGUGGUAGGAGAGCGUUCUAAGGGCGGUGAAGUCAGACCGGAAGGACUGGUGGAGCGCUUAGAAGUGAGAAUGCCGGUAUGAGUAGCGAAAGAAGGGUGAGAAUCCCUUCCACCGAAUAUCUAAGGUUUCCUGAGGAAGGCUCGUCCGCUCAGGGUUAGUCGGGACCUAAGCCGAGGCCGAUAGGCGUAGGCGAUGGACAACAGGUAGAGAUUCCUGUACCAGUGCUAAUUGUUUAACCGAUGGGGUGACACAGAAGGAUAGGGAAUCGCACGAAUGGAAAUGUGCGUCCAAGCAGUGAGUGUGAGAAGUAGGCAAAUCCGCUUCUCGCGAAGCAUGAGCUGUGAUGGGGAAGGAAAUUAAGUACGGAAGUUCCUGAUUUCACGCUGUCAAGAAAAGCCUCUAGGAAGAGUAGUACUGCCCGUACCGCAAACCGACACAGGUAGAUGAGGAGAGAAUCCUAAGGUGAGCGAGAGAACUCUCGUUAAGGAACUCGGCAAAAUGACCCCGUAACUUCGGGAGAAGGGGUGCUCUAUUAGGGUGCAAGCCCGAGAGAGCCGCAGUGAAUAGGCCCAGGCGACUGUUUAGCAAAAACACAGGUCUCUGCAAAACCGUAAGGUGACGUAUAGGGGCUGACGCCUGCCCGGUGCUGGAAGGUUAAGAGGAGUGCUUAGCUUCGGCGAAGGUACGAAUUGAAGCCCCAGUAAACGGCGGCCGUAACUAUAACGGUCCUAAGGUAGCGAAAUUCCUUGUCGGGUAAGUUCCGACCCGCACGAAAGGCGCAACGAUCUGGGCACUGUCUCAACGAGAGACUCGGUGAAAUUAUAGUACCUGUGAAGAUGCAGGUUACCCGCGACAGGACGGAAAGACCCCGUGGAGCUUUACUGCAACCUGAUAUGGAAUGUUUGUACCGCUUGUACAGG
Molecule: ribosomal RNA, 1736 nt
Filed under: Listeria monocytogenes
Lineage: Bacteria; Bacillati; Bacillota; Bacilli; Caryophanales; Listeriaceae
Description: partial 23S ribosomal RNA
Rfam family: Bacterial large subunit ribosomal RNA
Source: RNAcentral